Molecule: ribosomal RNA, 422 nt
Filed under: uncultured Sphingobacterium sp.
Lineage: Bacteria; Pseudomonadati; Bacteroidota; Sphingobacteriia; Sphingobacteriales; Sphingobacteriaceae
Description: bacterial SSU rRNA
Rfam family: Bacterial small subunit ribosomal RNA
Source: RNAcentral
GAGUUUGAUCCUGGCUCAGGAUUAACGCUAGCGGCAGGCCUAAUACAUGCAAGUCGUACGGUAACAGGUGUAGCAAUACAUGCUGACGAGUGGCGCACGGGUGCGUAACACGUAUGUAAUCUGCCUUUAACUGGGGAAUAACCCCUCGAAAGAGGGGCUAAUACCGCAUAACAUCACCGGACGGCAUCGCCUGGUGAGCAAACCUACGGGGGUUAAAGAUGAACAUGCGACUGAUUAGUUAGUUGGCGGGGUAACGGCCCACCAAGACCACGAUCAGUAGGGGAUCUGAGAGGAUGAUCCCCCCACACGGGUACUGAGACACGGACCCGACUCCUACGGGAGGCAGCAGUAAGGAAUAUUGGACAAUGGAGGCAACUCUGAUCCAGCCAUGCCGCGUGAAGGAUGAAUGCGCUAUGCGUUGU